Molecule: ribosomal RNA, 282 nt
Filed under: uncultured Streptococcus sp.
Lineage: Bacteria; Bacillati; Bacillota; Bacilli; Lactobacillales; Streptococcaceae
Description: partial 16S ribosomal RNA
Rfam family: Bacterial small subunit ribosomal RNA
Source: RNAcentral
AACCCCUAUUGUUAGUUGCCAUCAUUCAGUUGGGCACUCUAGCGAGACUGCCGGUAAUAAACCGGAGGAAGGUGGGGAUGACGUCAAAUCAUCAUGCCCCUUAUGACCUAGGCUACACACGUGCUACAAUGGUUGGUACAACGAGUUGCGAGUCGGUGACGGCGAGCUAAUCUCUUAAAGCCAAUCUCAGUUCGGAUUGUAGGCUGCAACUCGCCUACAUGAAGUCGGAAUCGCUAGUAAUCGCGGAUCAGCACGCCGCGGUCGAAUACGUUCCCGGGCCUU